AAAGUCACCCUGUAAGCUACUCCUUCAUUUUAAUACAGGAACAGUGGGAAUACAGAGAUGUUUUCCAUUUUGCAAGCUGUGUUAGGACAGCAAUUUGGUAGAACUGGGACAGUGGAGCCUGGAUCACCUGAGUUUGUAUUUUGUGUAUUUUGAAUGAGAAACCACAGUCUCUCUUUUUAUAGGAAAUUGCCAUAUUCCUAUUAUCCAACACUUUAAGGGCCUGUGUAUAACAUUCUAUUUCAUUUAUCCCAGAUGCAUUUUCAUCCAAAACUCUUUCAAAUGUCUAUCUUCAAAGUGCUUCUAUAAAAGCAACACUACAUGUAUUCAUGAACUGAUUUAAAUAUUCCUACGGUAGUUUAUAUCUUCUUUUGCCCCUCUAAAUACUAAAUUUUGGUAGAGCUUCUGUUUCUUAUUUUGUCUCUUUUCAUUACUGCUGCCAAUGUAAAACUUCUCUUAAAAAUCUUUGUUUUGAAUGUAUAUGAAUUUUAUGUAUCAUAUGUCAGUUAGACUCAGUAUUCUGUUUUGAACUAAACAUAUCCUGUCAAGAGCUUGUUGUGUAGUCUCAUCGCUUCCUCUAACAGCAACAAAUUUAGUGAUAUAUCUGCCCAAGUGAUAUUUUGCCCCAACAUUUGUGAGUCUGAUCAACAAACAGAAUGAGUCUUCUAUAUCAGAAAUACUGUGAAUGAAAAGCUGCCAAAUCCCUUCUUGGUAUAUUUUAAAUACCCCUACAACACUUUACCUCCCUGUCUUUAAUGGUUUAAACAUAUGGCCAAGUUUGAUUUGGGUUUGAUUCCUUUGGUGAAGAGUACAUCAUCAAAACAUUUCUAAAUAAACAUUUGAGCACAAGGCUAGGUUGGAAUGUCAAAGACUAUAUUGUAAUUUGGUUUGAAUAUACUAGAGUGAGCAAUUUUGAUUUGCCUAAGAACAACAAAUUCCAAAUGUGUAUUUCACUUUUUUCUACUUGAAGACAUUCAUGUAUUUUGUUUAACCUCAG
RNAcentral lists this long non-coding RNA (994 nucleotides) under Bos taurus (domestic cattle). RNAcentral describes it as "long non-coding RNA NONBTAT018293". Lineage: Eukaryota; Metazoa; Chordata; Mammalia; Artiodactyla; Bovidae. The record is from RNAcentral.